Molecule: ribosomal RNA, 253 nt
Filed under: uncultured bacterium
Lineage: Bacteria
Also listed under: 1 other name
Description: partial 16S ribosomal RNA
Rfam family: Bacterial small subunit ribosomal RNA
Source: RNAcentral
UACGGAGGGAGCUAGCGUUGUUCGGAAUUACUGGGCGUAAAGCGCACGUAGGCGGUUAUUCAAGUCAGAGGUGAAAGCCCGGGGCUCAACCCCGGAACGGCCUUUGAAACUAGAUAGCUAGAAUCUUGGAGAGGUCAGUGGAAUUCCGAGUGUAGAGGUGAAAUUCGUAGAUAUUCGGAAGAACACCAGUGGCGAAGGCGACUGACUGGACAAGUAUUGACGCUGAGGUGCGAAAGCGUGGGGAGCAAACAGG